Molecule: transfer RNA, 71 nt
Filed under: Loxodonta africana (African savanna elephant)
Lineage: Eukaryota; Metazoa; Chordata; Mammalia; Proboscidea; Elephantidae
Rfam family: tRNA
About the family: Transfer RNA (tRNA) molecules are approximately 80 nucleotides in length. Their secondary structure includes four short double-helical elements and three loops (D, anti-codon, and T loops).
Source: Rfam by way of RNAcentral
GCAUUGGUUGUUCGGUGGUAGAAUUCUCACCUCUCAUAAGAGAGAUCCAGGUUCAAUUCCCAGCCAAUGUA